CUGCAGCCAAUUAAGCCAACUGUGCUCUUUCUCCCUGGGGGCCCAGUGUGCCAGGCUGCAAACAGUAGCCUCCUUGGUAGUGUAUGCAGCCUGUUGAUUGUAUGGGUUGCCCUAAGGGACCCUGGAGACAGCC
Molecule: small nucleolar RNA, 133 nt
Filed under: Vulpes vulpes (red fox)
Lineage: Eukaryota; Metazoa; Chordata; Mammalia; Carnivora; Canidae
Description: Small nucleolar RNA SNORA70 (ENSVVUG00000022937.1)
Rfam family: Small nucleolar RNA SNORA70
About the family: snoRNA U70 seems to be exclusive to mammals and is a member of the H/ACA class of snoRNA which contain H (ANANNA) and ACA box motifs.
Source: Rfam by way of RNAcentral